CCCGCACAAGCGGUGGAGCAUGUGGUUUAAUUCGAUGAUACGCGAGGAACCUUACCUGGGCUCAAAUGUAUGUUGACGUAUUCUAGAAAGGGAUACUUCUUCGGACAAUAUACAAGGUGCUGCAUGGUUGUCGUCAGCUCGUGCCGUGAGGUGUCGGGUUAAGUCCCAUAACGAGCGCAACCCCUAUCAUUAGUUGCCAUCAGGUCAAGCUGGGGACUCUAAUGAAACUGCCUACGCAAGUAGUGAGGAAGGUGGGGAUGACGUCAAAUCAGCACGGCCCUUACGUCCAGGGCUACACACGUGCUACAAUGGUCGGUACAAAGGGUUGCCAAGCCGCGAGGUGGAGCUAAUCCCAUAAAACCGAUCGUAGUCCGGAUCGCAGUCUGCAACUCGACUGCGUGAAGUCGGAAUCGCUAGUAAUCGUGAAUCAGAAUGUCACGGUGAAUACGUUCCCGGGCCUU
This 461-nucleotide ribosomal RNA is filed under the name uncultured Sphingobacteriales bacterium. RNAcentral's name for it is "bacterial SSU rRNA". It matches the Rfam family "Bacterial small subunit ribosomal RNA", at positions 920 to 1382 of the family's 1533-position model. Lineage: Bacteria; Pseudomonadati; Bacteroidota; Sphingobacteriia; Sphingobacteriales. The record is from RNAcentral.